RNAcentral lists this ribosomal RNA (395 nucleotides) under uncultured bacterium. Its description in RNAcentral is "bacterial SSU rRNA". It matches the Rfam family "Bacterial small subunit ribosomal RNA", at positions 355 to 767 of the family's 1533-position model. The record is from RNAcentral.
UGGGGAAUCUUGCACAAUGGGGGAAACCCUGAUGCAGCGACGCCGCGUGAACGAUGAAGCCCUUCGGGGUGUAAAGUUCUUUCGACAGGAACGAUAAUGACGGUACCUGGAGAAGAAGCUGCGGCUAACUACGUGCCAGCAGCCGCGGUAAUACGUAGGCAGCGAGCGUUGUUCGGAGUUACUGGGCGUAAAGAGUGCGUAGGCGGCGAGCCAAGUUUGGUGUGAAAUCUCCCGGCUUAACCGGGAGGGUGCGCCGAAAACUGGUUGGCUGGAGUAUGGGAGAGGAAAGCGGAAUUCCUGGUGUAGCGGUGAAAUGCGUAGAUAUCAGGAGGAACACCAGCGCUGUAGACAGCUUUCUGGACCAAAACUGACGCUGAGGCACGAAAGCGUGGGUA